Molecule: ribosomal RNA, 213 nt
Filed under: uncultured bacterium
Lineage: Bacteria
Description: partial 16S ribosomal RNA
Rfam family: Bacterial small subunit ribosomal RNA
Source: RNAcentral
ACUCCUACGGGAGGCAGCAGUGGGGAAUAUUGCGCAAUGGGCGAAAGCCUGACGCAGCGACGCCGCGUGAGGGAUGAAGGCCUUCGGGUUGUAAACCUCUUUCAGCAGGGAAGAAGCGCAAGUGACGGUACCUGCAGAAGAAGCACCGGCUAACUACGUGCCAGCAGCCGCGGUAAUACGUAGGAGGCGAGCGUUAUCCGGAUUUACUGGGCG